Long non-coding RNA from Triticum aestivum (bread wheat), 8480 nucleotides. RefSeq lists it as uncharacterized. NCBI's taxonomy places the organism in Eukaryota, Viridiplantae, Streptophyta, Magnoliopsida, Poales, Poaceae. The record is from RefSeq and is a predicted model, not a curated record. The transcript has 4 exons.
AUUCAAUCGACAUCAAAACACUCUUUCACGGUUAGGAGUCUAUAUGGCGUCUAUGCUUAAUCUAGGGUAAAACAUACUUCGUAUUUCGGAAGGUCAACUACGCGCUCCUAACUUUGUGCCGCUCUCCAUGCCCUAGGCUUGAAGACUCCAUUCAUGUGGUCUCACUAUCUAGGUUGAUGACUCCAGUGGCUGGUGACGCUCCCAUUUAUAGCCGGCAAGCAGAAGUUGCAGCCCCGCGCCCUGAGGUGUAUGCAUAAUGGUUUGAAGAAAGGAGGCCGACAUUGGUACUUGAGGCCAUCAAGUUGAGGAAUUACGUUGGACUAGUGACACAACAACUCACAAUCCAAACCCUACUCAAGUUCUUCUCCCAUUAUUCCUGCCACACCCCAUCAUUAUCCAUUUUGGUGAGCGGAGGAGAACCAGCUAGGGUGUGAUAUGCAUCGCCUAGAGUGGCACCAUGCAGUAAGGUUCCAUUAAACUACAUCUUCAUCAACUACCCACCAGGCAAUUUACAUUAAUUGUUGGCAGGAAGCUUUACAGAUGUCUUCCCAUGCAACCAUUUGUUAGACAACAAAAUUAGUUGAUGAUUCCUAUAUAUCUAAUGAAUUUGGACAUUGUAUGUUAUUCCUUCCAGUAAACACUAAUUGUUAGGUUAUCUACAUGGUAGAGUGGUAUAUAUAAUAUUGUGUAUAAUCUAUAUUUGGCAGAUCUGCAGUAAGAUUUUCAAAUUGUUGCCCAUGCAAAAAUUAAGCUAGAUGUAUGGCGUAGUUGAGGUAUGUAGGUUCUGUUUACAGCACAUACAUGUACUAUGUUUGAAAGGGGAUCCAAAUCUAUGUUUUUUUAUUGUUAAACACACAUCUGAAAUUUCACUGCAAAUGUAACCAUGGAAUCCAUAUUUCCUAGGUUCGUUCCUGAUAAUAUGAUAUUUCUUUUGGAGCUCUAGUGUUUAGAUUUUAGAGAUGCUAACUUAUACAAAAUACGCUAAUAUAUAUAUUGUCACCUAAGAUAUUAGAAUGCCCUUUUAGUGAUUUGCAUAUUUAAAGCGGGGAGGUAUAUACAUUGAUAAUGAUCCAAAUCUUGUCAGCUAAAUAUGUUUUAUGAAAUUAAUAGAUGUAUGUGUUCCAUUAUGAGCAGCAGAAUGUUCAAUGUACAUGCGUGACACUAUAUCUACUUCUUCAAAUAGUACUCUAGACUAGGUACUGUAAAAAAACAUGUGAGAAAACUUAAUCACUACCAUACUAUUUUUAAGUAGCUUGCAAGUAGGAAUUAUAAUCCUUAUAUGAUAUUAUUACCUCCAAUUUCAGUAUGGUCGUGUCAUUGAUCACAUUAUAACUCUUCCUGCUACUGCAGGUUUGACUUGAAUUUUGGAUUAUGUACAUAUGGUGUUGUGCACCUCUCCAUAGGUUUCUACCUCCCAGAAUUCAUCUUCCUAUUGCCACAUAACCACAUCAUUUGUUUUUGGGAAAUCAAUGUAUAUAUCCAUUGUUUCCAUCUACCAUGCACAUGCUCUUAUAUUUGUUAUUUCUUCCAUGAUUUCUUGCUAUUCUUGGAUAACUAGAGUAUCUGAUUUGAAAUUCUCCAGUCUUUUGUAUGUUCACUUGCAUAGAUGGCUUAAUCCAGAACCUAAAGUGAAGACUAAAUAUAGCACAUAUACUUGGUCAUUUCUCCUAAGAAGAUUAAUCCACCUGGACUUUUAACCUAAUUCCAAAGAAACAUAUACUUGGUCAUAUCUCCUAAGAAGAUUAAUCCACUUGGACUUUUAACUUAAUUCCAAAGAAGUUCUGAAUGAUCAAGCAUGUUUGGGUUUUUAGUAAACUGAAAUAAUGUUGCACUCCAACAAUAAUAUUCUGAUUUUAUAAGUUAACAUGAAUCUUAGAUUCAUACCACUUAUUUUAAUCAUGCAUUUGGAUUAUGGCGACAAUACCUCUUCUCUGAACUCUGUUUGCAUGUUUCCAGUUGAAACAAUAACCGAAUUUGAUAGGUAUGCGACGAUUUCUUCCCUGUGGCAUGAGUAAAAUGUUGUGAGUUUAGAUAAGUAACCACUAUAUUAUUUUGUAUGUGUAAUUGACCUGUACACAUGUUGUCGCUCUACUUAAACCAUCCUUCUCCACUGUACGAGCCCGAGACUUCCAUUGCAACAAUCUAUAUGUAUUCGAGCUCCUCUCACAGGCCGACUCCUCUGUUUGUGACUGAGCUGUUAGAUUGAUCUCUCCUCCAAUGGGCACAACGGCUCAUUGGGCCCUUGACCCACGCCCUGAUCGGGGGCGUCCAGCCCAAGCAAGGCUGGUGGGCCCCUGUCAUGCAGUGCUAUAAAGAGGAGGUGGGGACCAGGGCACAGGGUACGAGGUUCGUCACCGCCACUAUUUCCCACUCCUAACCCUAUCCGAUCCAGAGGGAGGCACUGAAGCGAUGGGAAGCUUCACCGCCGCCACUACCCACACAUCCCCGUCGGCACCAUCGCCCUCUCCAUGAUGGCCUCCGGCUCGAGUUCAUCAACCGCUGGAGAAGGUAGGUUUACCGGAUUACUAGCCUACUCCGAUCCAAUGGAUAUAACAAUGGUAUCAGGCCAGGCUAGGGUAAGGUUUUCGAUACAAAGAACAAACAGAGAAAGAAAGAUCCCUCCCUCCCCCAGAACCCUAGACAGGGCAAAGAAAUCUCAAAGAAAUGUUGCGCCGCCGCACAUGGCCGCGCCGUUCCUCUCGAUCCCGAAUCGCAUCGGCAUGCCAAGGAUCCGGGAAGAAGAACCACCCCAUGGGGCAAAGGGCACCACCAGCGAGCCGUUUGAUGGUGGUGCGUUGACCUUCGAGGUGCUCACGCACGCCAGCAAAAAGGUCAGCAGGGGCGCUGCAUCAGAAAGUCUCUGGAUCUCUCUCUCUCUCUCUAUUGCUGCGGGGGGUGAGCAGAGAACUGGAAAGAAAGGGGCGGGACUCGCGGUGCGGUUGCUGAUUGGCCUCGUCGCCGGCGGCCGGGGCAGCCCGAACCCGCCGCCAUUCGAGCUGACAGAGCAGCAGAGGAGGACCCAGGUCGCGCCUCUGUCUCUCUCUAUCGCAGGAAGCGGUGGGGGAUGGGUGAAAUGGAGGGGGGAAAGGAAGAGAUGGUGGCCAGGCUCGCGUGGCGCGGUGGUGGAUGCCGUCGCCGGCGGCCGGCGCUCUCGCGCGGUGGAUGGACGGCCAGAGCGAGCACUGCAGAGAGCGAGGGAGUAGAGGAGGCCUCGUUGCACCGAUCUCUCUCUCUAUCACAGGAAGAAGAGGGUGAAGGGAAAGGAAAAAGAGCGCAACGGCACGGUGCGGUGGCCGGUCCACGCCGUCGCCGGCGGCCGGCGUGGGCGGCCGGGGCGCUGCCCCCGUUUCGCCCCUGCGGGACAGAGACAAGGAGGAGAGAACGGCGCGUGGGGGAAAACUGGCUAGGGUACGAUCGGAUCGAUCGGGGCAGCGGUUUUGUUCGACCGAACAUCGCGGAUAGCCGUCCGAUCUGAUCCGACGGCCCGAGCAAACCCUAGCUCGCGCUGGGCCUUAAUGGGCUGAAAGUGGAGGCCUGGGGCAGCUGCCGCUGCGCCGUCGCCAGCCGCCGCAGGCGCGCGUGCGGUGUGCUGGGCCGAGGCCGCGGCCGCACGCGCUGGGCUCCCCUGCAACUAUUUUUUAUUAUUAUUUUCUUUCAGUAUAGAAAAUAGAAAAGAAAAAAGUCUCUAAAAAGUAAAAUAAAAAGUUUCUGAUAUUUUUGAUUGUUCAGAAAAUAGAAAGUUUCUGAAAAGUAAAAUACAAGUUUCUGAAAACAAAAUGUCCAUGAAUUUUAUAUAGAAAAUAUAAAGUUCAUGAAUUUUUAUUCGGUCAAAGAACAGUUUCUAUAAAGAGUAAAAGUUGGUGAAUUUUUAUUCAUGAUUUUCCGCUGCGUAAAUAAUUAAUAGUACUCUUUUACGAAGAAAAUAAAAGUUUAGAUAGAAUUAAGUAUUUAAAGAGCAUAUUAAAGUAAUUAUGAUUAUGUUAUUUUUAUGACCAACAUUGUUAAUAACAUGAUCAUGUUUUAUUAUUGAAAAUAAAAGUGCUCUUUUAAAAGUGAAUAGAACUAAACUAAAAGUUUAAAUUGUUGCUCCUCUACUCAAAUUUGAACCAAUGGGAUAAUUUGUUUAGAGAGUAGAAAAGUAUAAAGUGAUGCUACUGAAUAAUAGUAAAAGUUUUGUCCUCCAAUUAAAUUGGAACCAACAGGAAAAUUUAAUUGGAAGAACGGUUUUUGAGAGAAGUUUUUUCACUUGUGGGUGAAAUCAAAUUCAGCUAGCUUCUGCUAUAACAGUAGAAAGAUAUUUGAUUAAAGUUUAAUUAUGGUACUGUUAUUUUCUGACCAACAUUGAAGAUGACAAUAUUAUAAUUCAAUGAGUCUUAUAGUUAAAAGUUCAAAUCACUGAUAAAUUUUGUAUCAAUGACCAAUUUUCAGAGAAUUUGAUAAAGAUUGGGAUAUUUAUAUUGCUAGUUUUCCGUUGCAAUAAAGUUGAUAAUGAUGAUUAUUUUCUUAGCAAAGUUACUUAGUAGAAAUUUUAUCAUCACAUUAUUUAUGAGUUAUAUGCUUUUUUUCAUUUCUGCCCAACGGUGAUGUGGAAUUAAUGUAAAAAGGUGAUGUUUAUUCUAAUUCUAUCACAACAGUGAUUUAGAAUAUAAAAGAAAGUUUCAAAAGUUUAAUGUGCAUUUUUUUAACUAGACCAACGUAGGGUUAUUUUUAUGCUCAUUAUUGUUGACUAUUGGCUAAGUUUUCUCAGACUAAAAAUUUUCCAUGCCUUCAUUCGUGAAAGUAAAUGGUUGGGUACUUGUGACCCGAAAGAUGACCAAGAAAGGUCAUAACGUGAGGGAGUAUGUUCUCUCUAAAAGAAUGGCCUCAAAAGAAAAGAGAUAGAUCAUUGAGAGUCUUGGUUGACGAAUGUCUUUCAUGUACUCUCUAUGAAGAAGAUUUUUUCAGCCAACACGAUUUGAGUUGAAACAAGCAACAUGUGUGUUUAAUUUGACCAACGUCGGAUCAAGCAUGUGUGUCAAAGAGUAUUCGGAUUUACUCCUAAAUUUGAUGAUUGAAUAUUCAGUUAAAAGAGCCAAUUCUGGCAUUUAUGUCCCUUACAGGGAAUUACCCGCAUGACGGGAAAAGAUGAUUAUGAUAAAACCCGCAUGGCAGGAAAAUUCUGGGAAAAUCCCUGUGUAACCGUUAUGGCGGCAGAAAUUUCUCAGACUUAUCUUGUAUGACAGGAGAAAGACAUGAUGACUCAUGUGCUUUAAUGUGUCCCACUCUGGGAGAAAAGUAUGGAGUAGCUAUUAUGCUUUCCUAGUAUCGAUCGUACAUCUUAGGUGUAACGGUCAUUAAGGACUCAAUAAAUCCGAAGACAAUAAAAGUUACAGACGAACCUAAAGAUAAGAAUGAUAUGCAAGUGCGACUUGCAAAAGUACUGAUGAUAAAGAACUCUAUUGAGUUUCUGGAAUGGAAUGAGGAAAAGGUACUCCCAUACCAGUUAACAGAUAACUUCAUGACAUAUGAAGUAAUCAGUUAAAUGAAGUAGAUAAUCAAAGUUUCCCUAAUUCAAGAGUUAUGAAUGGUUUUUCGAAUUUGUGACAGAAAAGUUCUUGCCACAUUUCGAGGGGGAGAAAGAAAUAUGAGAUUAUCUAAGAAUGAUGAAACUCCCCUAUACUUUAGAUAAUGUGAUGCACAUAAUGCAUCUAAAGUGAUCCAUAAAUGAAGAAUGUGAUCGUCUGGGGGAGUACAACGGUCAUAAUAAUACCCCUAAAGAAAAGAAAUACUUCUAUUCCGCUUCGAAAGCAUACUAAGGAAUACUAAGACGGUGCUUAAAGUGUCAUAAAGAAGAAAGUUUUAACAGAAUAAACCCAAAUAAUAAAGAUUAAAGAUACACCAUUCUUAGUGAAGAUGGAGUAAUUUGAGGGGGAGCAUGUCGUAUGACCUAUACAACACCUGUUGUUAGCUCUAUAAAGGAGGAAUGAGUAAACAUGGCUCUUGUGAUAAAGUUUCCUGUAAAACCUAUUGCCUCUUGGAAAUGAAAGACUAUACAAUUAAUGUGCCUCUUGGCAAUGACACAGCAACAACAACCCCAUAUGAAAGAAGUGCCAGUAUCUGAGACACAGAUGGUCUGAAGGAAUGAGAAAAUUCAGAUUCUUCUGAUUACUAUAAAGUCUAUGUUAAUGGAGGUUGAUUCCACCUCAUUUAAAGUGCUCAAUCGAGCUUUGAGAAGUACCUCUUUGUCUAAAUGAUAAGAGACUAUGUGAGAUGAAAUGAAAUUGGUGAAUCCCGAUGAUGUUUGGGACUCAUGAGUAAUUUCCAAUGGAGCCAAAACAAUCGGCUGUAAAGAGUCUACAAGGACAAUGUGACUCCAAAGGAAAUAUGUAAAGGUGUAAAACACGACUAAAAUCAAAAGGUUUUUGUGCGUUUUACACUGAAUAGAUUAGAAUGAGUGUUGGUAGCACAUCAUGAUCUGAGUUACAUCAGAUGAAAGAUAUUAUGAUUUGAGUUACAUCAGAUGAAAGUAAAGAACACAUGGGAUACUGCCCGAAGAAGUCUUUUAUGGACUAAAGCAAUCAAAUGUUGUUUUGGGUUAAAGAAGAUGAGAGGACAAUUGUGUUUGUAUAAAGUUAUAGAAUGGGAAUUUCAUUUCCUAAAUCCUGUACAUGCGGAUAACAUUCUACUUGUUAAUAGUGAUGUUAAUUUGACUGCAGGAGGAAAAGAAGUUCUUGUCCUCAAAGUUCAAAAGAAUGUUCUGGGUAGAAUGUCUCUCGUUAUAAGGAUCGAGAUUCACCGAGAAAAGAAUAAAAGGGGUAUUAGGAGUGUCGCAUGGUCAUGCUAAGGGAAGUUUCUAAAGUAUGCAUGCGAGAAAACCUAAGCUUAUUCUUAUAGUAAAGGGUAAUGAUUUUGGGAACAUUAGUGUUCCAAAAGUCAAUACGAAAUAGACCAAAUGAAUAUGAUACCAUAUGCUUCAGCUGUUGGAAGCUUAAUGAAUGCAAAAGUAUAACAUUACGGUGACACAGUUCACGUAACCGGGUUGUUUUGGUAAUGUCCAGUCCAGAUAUAGAUCACUGGAAUGGAGUCAAAAAUAUUGGCCUCAUGCUAAAAGGAGCAAGUGUUCUCGAAAGGUUGUGAAUACAGAAAUAGAACAUGUGAAAUAUACAGCGAAAUCCACAAUUGUCGCUGACUUCCACACUUGGAGUUUUUGUGUGGAAAAACUCUAAAGAAUGAAUCAAUUAUCGUUAAUAUGAUGUAAAGAUAAUGUACAACAUGAUAUGAGGCUGAGGGACAUGCAAAAAGGUUAAGGACAUAUGUACCCGGAGUUGAUAAUGGUUGUCAACAACAAUAAGCAUUAAGUAAUUCGCUCCUAUGACAACGAGUCAAGUGUGGUGCCAAACACAUUGACACAGAGUUAUACGUUGUUAAGGAGAAAGUCCGGAAUUAUGUUGAAAUGCUUGGAGCAUGAAAGCAACAGACAAGUAUUUGCAGAUCUGCUUAUUAAUGGCUUACCGCCCAGUGUGUUCGGAGAACACACAAUCGACAUGGGCUUUAUGGUAUAUUCUAAGAUUUCUGGACAAUAAAAGGGCCCAAGGUUAAAGAAUCUAUUUGAAAACAGAGGAGUGUGUUGUAGGUGUUGAUUCUAUCGGGAAUGAACCGUGAUGAUGAGACAUGCUCUACAUGCAAAUCUGUGAUGGAACGAGUACUUUGAAAAGAGUUAUUUCAAAGUAUAAAGUUAAAAGUAUAUGUUGAGAUCAAGGGGGAGAAUGUUAGAUUGAUCUCUCCUCCAAUGGGCCCAGAGGCUCAUUGGGCCCUUGACCCACGCCCUGAUCGGGGGCGUCCAGCCCAAGCAAGGCUGCUGGGCCCCUGUCGCGCAGUGCUAUAAAGAGGAGGUGGGGACCAGGGCACAAGGUACGAGGUUCGUCACCGCCACUGUUUCCCACUCCUAACCCUAUCCGAUCCAGAGGGAGGCACUGAAGCGAUGGGAAGCUUCACCGCCGCCACUACCCACACAUCCCCGUCGCCACCAACGCCCUCUCCACGAUGGCCUCCGGCUUGAGUUCAUCAACCGCUGGAGAAGUCUGUAUCUUUUGCUUCAUAAUUCACCCGUCCACAAGAAUGAUGCCGAGAAGAUUCUGCCUUCCAUGCUAAAUGGCAUUCUUUUUCGACUUGAUAAAGAUGAGAUAACAUGGAGUCUUCUCAUUUGUAGCGACAUAGAGAUAGGAACGAGCAAUUCAGCUUAACUUUAAGAAAGUGACGGACAAAGGAGAACUGUAUUGUUGCUGAGAGCUAGGUCUGGACGCAUGAUCCCCUAUAUGUAUAUAGUUUUUAGCGAUAAAUGUAUCCUGAUUGGUAUAGAACAAUUGACAGUCUUGGUUUCAUCUGAUCUCUUAAUUUGAACAUGAAUUAGAGAGGGGAAUAUGUACUACGUUUGGAAUCUAUCAUACUAAAUGUGCAUUUGUGCUAUUAAUGUACAGUAUUAAAUAAAGUUACAUUUUCUA